RNAcentral lists this ribosomal RNA (461 nucleotides) under uncultured bacterium. Its description in RNAcentral is "partial 16S ribosomal RNA". It matches the Rfam family "Bacterial small subunit ribosomal RNA", at positions 338 to 795 of the family's 1533-position model. The record is from RNAcentral.
CCUACGGGAGGCAGCAGUGAGGAAUAUUGGUCAAUGGGCGAGAGCCUGAACCAGCCAAGUCGCGUGAAGGAUGACGGCCCUACGGGUUGUAAACUUCUUUUGUCAGGGAGCAAUUGGGUCCACGCGUGGGCUUAGCGAGAGUAUCUGAAGAAAAAGAAUCGGCUAAAUCCGUGCCAGCAGCCGCGGUAAUACGGAGGAUGCGAGCGUUAUCCGGAUUUAUUGGGUGUAAAGGGGGCGCAGACGGCGAUGCAAGACAGGAGUGAAAGCCCGGGGCCCAACCCCGGGACUGCUCUUGGAACGGCGUGGCUGGAGUGCAGGAGGGGCAGGCGGAAUUCCUGGUGUAGCGGUGAAAUGCGUAGAUAUCAGGAGGAACCCCGAUGGCGAAGGCAGCCUGCUGAACUGCAACUGACGUUGAGGCCCGAAAGCGUGGGGAGCAAACAGGAUUAGAUACCCCUGUAGUC